This is a long non-coding RNA of Drosophila subobscura, 1898 nucleotides long. RefSeq lists it as uncharacterized. NCBI's taxonomy places the organism in Eukaryota, Metazoa, Arthropoda, Insecta, Diptera, Drosophilidae. The transcript has 3 exons. The record is from RefSeq and is a predicted model, not a curated record.
GCCUUAAUUUUAUGAAAUUAAACUAAUUAGGAAUAUAUUAUGACAGGUCCGCCAUCUACAUUGCAAGCCAAGAGACGAGGAACCUUUACUUGCGCCAUCCAGCGGCCCUUACAUGUGAAUCAGAUGGAGCCAGUAGGACGUACAUCAAAUAUGUAAAUAUACGUGUAUGAUUGGUGUCAACUACGUUGCGCCAUCUAGAAGGUAUAUUUCAGUAUAUUUCUGAGGGUCAGACGGUAUUAUUUAUCGAUAAUUCCGCGGUAACACUGAUUGCAUUGUUUUGAUGAUAAUUUUGCUAAGUUUUGUCUGUUUUUUGUGUUUUUAGAACUAAUCUUUUGCGUCUAGCCGAUGUACAACUCACAGCGUCCGCGUCGUCAUGUGGCCAGGGCGUUGGCGAUGUGUGCGGGUUGGAUGACACACGAAUGACUGAAUACGUGAAUUGAAAACAGAAGCGUCGCAAGAAAUGUGCGCUCGGUACCAGAUUAAGCUAUUGGCCAUUGUUCAUAUCCUGCAUGAAUUUGGCCAAUAAAGAGUCUGACAACAAUGUGAAGAAAGAUCGCCUCCUGCAUCCCCUGGACAUAUAUACCUACAUAUUGACGGCAGAGUUGUCUGAGCAAGUUCAACAAGGAUGGCAUCUUUGCACAGAGCAAGACGGCCUGUCCGAGAACCUCAGAGAUGCCACCGACGAGCGGGUUUGCGAUAAUUAGUUGGUUCUGCUGGUUGGCAACGAUUGCUUAGACUUCCUACAGCAGCGGAGCGGAACUGCCAGAUGACAGACAGACAUGGCACUCGCAAAGAUCCUGUGGGAAUAACUGAUGGAGCUGGAUGAGCUGGCCUUGACUUAUGGAUCCCAAUUGAUGGAACUCCACCCUUUGACUACAACGAGGAACUGUAGCCCACGACGUGGUUGUUGGAAUAUAGGAAUAUAUUAUGACAGGUCCGCCAUCUACAUUGCAAGCCAAGAGACGAGGAAUCUUUACGUGCGCCAUCCAGCGGCCCUUACAUGUGAAUCAGAAGGAGCCAGUAGGACGUACAUCAAAUAUGUAAAUAUACGUGUAUGAUUGGUGUCAACUACGUUGCGCCAUCUAGAAGGUAUGUUUCAGUAUAUUUCUGAGGAUCAGACGGUAUUAUUUAUCGAUAAUUCCGCGGUAACACUGAUUGCAUUGUUUUGAUGAUAAUUUUGCUAAGUUUUGUCUGUUUUUUGUGUUUUUAGAACUAAUCUUUUGCGUCUAGCCGAUGUACAACUCACAGCGUCCGCGUCGUGAUGUGGCCAGGGCGUUGGCGAUGUGUGCGGGUUGGAUGGCACACGAAUGACUGAAUACGUGGAAUGAAACCAGAAGCGUCGCAAAAACUGUGCGCUCGGUACCAGAUUAAGCUAUUGGCCAUUGUUCAUAUCCUGCAUGAAUUUGGCCAAUAAAGAGUCUGACAACAAUGUGAAGAAAGAUCGCCUCCUGCAUCCCCUGGACAUAUAUACCUACAUAUUGACGGCAGAGUUGUCUGAGCAAGUUUAACAAGGAUGGCAUCUUUGCACAGAGCAAGACGGCCUGUCCGAGAACCUCAGAGAUGCCACCGACGAGCAGGUUUGCGAUAAUUAGUUGGUUCUGCUGGUUGGCAACGAUUGCUUAGACUUCCUACAGCAGCGGAGCGGAACUGCCAGAUGACAGACAGACAUGGCACUCGCAAAGAUCCUGUGGGAAUAACUGAUGGAGCUGGAUGAGCUGGCCUUGACUUAUGGAUCCCAAUUGAUGGAACUCUACCCUUUGACUACAACGAGGAACUGUACUCCACGACGUGGUUGUUGUACAACAAUAAAAACAACAACUUUUGUGGUACAACAGUUUAAAUUGACAAUCUGUUCAUCCUGAAAGUAUGCCACACUUGUUGUAAUCAAAGCCACUCCC